GAGUUUGAUCAUGGCUCAGAUUGAACGCUGGCGGCAGGCCUAACACAUGCAAGUCGAACGGUAACAGGAAACAGCUUGCUGUUUCGCUGACGAGUGGCGGACGGGUGAGUAAUGUCUGGGAAACUGCCUGAUGGAGGGGGAUAACUACUGGAAACGGUAGCUAAUACCGCAUAACGUCGCAAGACCAAAGAGGGGGACCUUCGGGCCUCUUGCCAUCAGAUGUGCCCAGAUGGGAUUAGCUAGUAGGUGGGGUAACGGCUCACCUAGGCGACGAUCCCUAGCUGGUCUGAGAGGAUGACCAGCCACACUGGAACUGAGACACGGUCCAGACUCCUACGGGAGGCAGCAGUGGGGAAUAUUGCACAAUGGGCGCAAGCCUGAUGCAGCCAUGCCGCGUGUAUGAAGAAGGCCUUCGGGUUGUAAAGUACUUUCAGCGGGGAGGAAGGGAGUAAAGUUAAUACCUUUGCUCAUUGACGUUACCCGCAGAAGAAGCACCGGCUAACUCCGUGCCAGCAGCCGCGGUAAUACGGAGGGUGCAAGCGUUAAUCGGAAUUACUGGGCGUAAAGCGCACGCAGGCGGUUUGUUAAGUCAGAUGUGAAAUCCCCGGGCUCAACCUGGGAACUGCAUCUGAUACUGGCAAGCUUGAGUCUCGUAGAGGGGGGUAGAAUUCCAGGUGUAGCGGUGAAAUGCGUAGAGAUCUGGAGGAAUACCGGUGGCGAAGGCGGCCCCCUGGACGAAGACUGACGCUCAGGUGCGAAAGCGUGGGGAGCAAGCAGGAUUAGAUACCCUGGUAGUCCACGCCGUAAACGAUGUCGACUUGGAGGUUGUGCCCUUGAGGCGUGGCUUCCGGAGCUAACGCGUUAAGUCGACCGCCUGGGGAGUACGGCCGCAAGGUUAAAACUCAAAUGAAUUGACGGGGGCCCGCACAAGCGGUGGAGCAUGUGGUUUAAUUCGAUGCAACGCGAAGAACCUUACCUGGUCUUGACAUCCACGGAAGUUUUCAGAGAUGAGAAUGUGCCUUCGGGAACCGUGAGACAGGUGCUGCAUGGCUGUCGUCAGCUCGUGUUGUGAAAUGUUGGGUUAAGUCCCGCAACGAGCGCAACCCUUAUCCUUUGUUGCCAGCGGUCCGGCCGGGAACUCAAAGGAGACUGCCAGUGAUAAACUGGAGGAAGGUGGGGAUGACGUCAAGUCAUCAUGGCCCUUACGACCAGGGCUACACACGUGCUACAAUGGCGCAUACAAAGAGAAGCGACCUCGCGAGAGCAAGCGGACCUCAUAAAGUGCGUCGUAGUCCGGAUUGGAGUCUGCAACUCGACUCCAUGAAGUCGGAAUCGCUAGUAAUCGUGGAUCAGAAUGCCACGGUGAAUACG
This 1371-nucleotide ribosomal RNA is filed under the name metagenome. Its description in RNAcentral is "bacterial SSU rRNA". It matches the Rfam family "Bacterial small subunit ribosomal RNA", at positions 9 to 1370 of the family's 1533-position model. The record is from RNAcentral.